Molecule: long non-coding RNA, 1517 nt
Organism: Brassica napus (rape)
Lineage: Eukaryota; Viridiplantae; Streptophyta; Magnoliopsida; Brassicales; Brassicaceae
Exons: 2
Source: RefSeq, a predicted model, not a curated record
AAUAUAUGAGCUCCUCUUAGACUAUCCACGUAGGAUUAAAAAAUUGGCCAAUAGGAUUGCUUUAAAUGACCAUGUCAGCUUACGUGUUAAGCGUCCAUAUUUGUUCUUUUACGACUAUUCCUCUUCGUCUUCACCACUACGCGGUUACUGUAAUCCACCCUCGUGAAUCUGUAAUGCUCUUAAAUCCUCUUUUAAUCCGACGUCCCAGCUCCCCCUCUUUCUCCUUCUAUAUAAAGCUCUAAUCUGAUGUUUAAUCCAAACCCUUAUUCAUAACCUCCACUGAAGAAGGUACAACGACCGCCAUGAAAUCUACAGGAAAGUCUCCAGUCCCCAGCCGCAAGCCUCACGUCGUUGUAUCUUUAGUGACGUCUCACAGGAACCAGCCGAAAUUGAUCUCCUUUUUUGGUUAAUCCAUUUCUGGGAAGCAAGAAACAUUGCAAAAGGCAUGACCUUUAUUGGAACAUUGCAAAAGGCAGGACCUUUAUUGGGUUGGAGCUCCUCCAAUACGACGAACAGGGGACUGCGAUGCAUGGGUUCAUCUCCUCUACUCGUGCUCCACGAUGCUCGCCUCAUCCUAAAGCAGAAACAACUUACAGCCUUCUGAAAUUUUAAGCUACCAGAAGCAAGGAGAUUUAUUGAGUUGCUUAUCAGAGUUUAACAAUUUCUUUUUUUGAAUGAAAAGUUUAACAAUCUCCCUCUUGCACAACUUUGUUCUCUUCGUGCUUGACGACAUCAGCCUCUCUAUUGACGCAGACAGGUUCAGGUUCCGCUCCAAUAACAGCAUCGUAAUUAUCUCUCCCUUUCUCUCAUGAUGACUGGCCGUAUAACAUAUACCAUCAUUGACCCCAUUGCUUGGCUUCCACAGUUACAGGUUUGCCAUAGAUUUUUAUAGUAGUAGUAGAACUAUAAAAGCAAUGUUAAUGCUUAAAUCUCACUAUAAUUAUUAUACGUUACAGCACCAAAGGCGUGAUACUUAUCAGUUUUUCUUCAACCACCAGGCGCACCAGAUCUAAUGGGAAACACAGUCUAUUACAAAUAGUCUGUUGAUACAUUUUAUUUGAUUUCAGUAGUUCACAUAUUAGGACGAAACAUGCCUCACAUUAACAUGUCUAUGUGACAUGAUCUUUGUGGAACAGCUUGAGAGACUUUUCCAAAGGAAUUAGUAAGAUUUCUGCAGUGAAGCUUUGGCUACUACUAGGCCUCGUGCUACUCCAACGGCUCAUACUAUGGAGAUAGAGCAUGACUUACUAACCAGGUCAUUUAUAUUACUUUUAAACCAUCAUAGAAUCCAUUUUAUUCGUUCUUUCUGCAGAGACUAAUGAAGGGUCAAAAUAACAAGGAUCAUUCUAAGGGUUCACAAUUUAUUUUUACCCCUUUUUAUAUUUUAACUUUCAAAGCAAUAUGUAUUCAAUUCUUACGAUCAGAUGUUUUUGCUUAUGAGGUCUGUCAUACACUCUAAUGCCAAGUUACAAUAUUGUCUGGUUUAUGAAAAGUAAGCUCACCAAUUUUAGAAAGCA